GGACGGAUACUCAAGUAUGGUCGAAGAGGCCUCUCUGCUAAAGAGGUAGGGCGUUUCAACACGCUGCGUGGGUUCAAAUCCCACUCCGUCCGCCA
Molecule: transfer RNA, 95 nt
Filed under: Caudoviricetes sp.
Lineage: Duplodnaviria; Heunggongvirae; Uroviricota; Caudoviricetes
Description: tRNA-Ser
Rfam family: tRNA
About the family: Transfer RNA (tRNA) molecules are approximately 80 nucleotides in length. Their secondary structure includes four short double-helical elements and three loops (D, anti-codon, and T loops).
Source: RNAcentral